RNAcentral lists this ribosomal RNA (1440 nucleotides) under uncultured organism. RNAcentral's name for it is "SSU rRNA". It matches the Rfam family "Bacterial small subunit ribosomal RNA". The record is from RNAcentral.
AGCUACAGGCUUAACACAUGCAAGUCGAGGGGCAGCAUGGUCUUAGCUUGCUAAGGCCGAUGGCGACCGGCGCACGGGCGAGUAACACGUAUCCAACCUGCCGUCUACUCUUGGACAGCCUUCUGAAAGGAAGAUUAAUACAAGAUGGCAUCAUGAGUCCGCAUGUUCACAUGAUUAAAGGUAUUCCGGUAGACGAUGGGGAUGCGUUCCAUUAGAUAGUAGGCGGGGUAACGGCCCACCUAGUCUUCGAUGGAUAGGGGUUCUGAGAGGAAGGUCCCCCACAUUGGAACUGAGACACGGUCCAAACUCCUACGGGAGGCAGCAGUGAGGAAUAUUGGUCAAUGGGCGAGAGCCUGAACCAGCCAAGUAGCGUGAAGGAUGACUGCCCUAUGGGUUGUAAACUUCUUUUAUAAAGGAAUAAAGUCGGGUAUGGAUACCCGUUUGCAUGUACUUUAUGAAUAAGGAUCGGCUAACUCCGUGCCAGCAGCCGCGGUAAUACGGAGGAUCCGAGCGUUAUCCGGAUUUAUUGGGUUUAAAGGGAGCGUAGAUGGAUGUUUAAGUCAGUUGUGAAAGUUUGCGGCUCAACCGUAAAAUUGCAGUUGAUACUGGAUAUCUUGAGUGCAGUUGAGGCAGGCGGAAUUCGUGGUGUAGCGGUGAAAUGCUUAGAUAUCACGAAGAACUCCGAUUGCGAAGGCAGCCUGCUAAGCUGCAACUGACAUUGAGGCUCGAAAGUGUGGGUAUCAAACAGGAUUAGAUACCCUGGUAGUCCACACGGUAAACGAUGAAUACUCGCUGUUUGCGAUAUACUGCAAGCGGCCAAGCGAAAGCGUUAAGUAUUCCACCUGGGGAGUACGCCGGCAACGGUGAAACUCAAAGGAGUUGACGGGGGCCCGCACAAGCGGAGGAACAUGUGGUUUAAUUCGAUGAUACGCGAGGAACCUUACCCGGGCUUAAAUUGCAGAUGAAUUACGGUGAAAGCCGUAAGCCGCAAGGCAUCUGUGAAGGUGCUGCAUGGUUGUCGUCAGCUCGUGCCGUGAGGUGUCGGCUUAAGUGCCAUAACGAGCGCAACCCUUGUUGUCAGUUACUAACAGGUUCCGCUGAGGACUCUGACAAGACUGCCAUCGUAAGAUGUGAGGAAGGUGGGGAUGACGUCAAAUCAGCACGGCCCUUACGUCCGGGGCUACACACGUGUUACAAUGGGGGGUACAGAGGGCCGCUACCACGCGAGUGGAUGCCAAUCCCCAAAACCUCUCUCAGUUCGGACUGGAGUCUGCAACCCGACUCCACGAAGCUGGAUUCGCUAGUAAUCGCGCAUCAGCCACGGCGCGGUGAAUACGUUCCCGGGCCUUGUACACACCGCCCGUCAAGCCAUGGGAGCCGGGGGUACCUGAAGUGCGUAACCGCGAGGAGCGCCCUAGGGUAAAACUGGUGACUGGGGCU